RNAcentral lists this ribosomal RNA (1261 nucleotides) under Salmonella enterica. RNAcentral's name for it is "partial 23S ribosomal RNA". It matches the Rfam family "Bacterial large subunit ribosomal RNA", at positions 1 to 1193 of the family's 2925-position model. Lineage: Bacteria; Pseudomonadati; Pseudomonadota; Gammaproteobacteria; Enterobacterales; Enterobacteriaceae. The record is from RNAcentral. RNAcentral also lists the same sequence under 1 other name.
GGGUUGUGAGGUUAAGCGACUAAGCGUACACGGUGGAUGCCCUGGCAGUCAGAGGCGAUGAAGGGCGUGCUAAUCUGCGAUAAGCGCCGGUAAGGUGAUAUGAACCGUUAUAACCGGCGAUACCCGAAUGGGGAAACCCAGUGUGAUUCGUCACACUAUCAUUAACUGAAUCCAUAGGUUAAUGAGGCGAACCGGGGGAACUGAAACAUCUAAGUACCCCGAGGAAAAGAAAUCAACCGAGAUUCCCCCAGUAGCGGCGAGCGAACGGGGAGGAGCCCAGAGCCUGAAUCAGCAUGUGUGUUAGUGGAAGCGUCUGGAAAGGCGCGCGAUACAGGGUGACAGCCCCGUACACAAAAGCGCAUAUGCUGUGAGCUCGAUGAGUAGGGCGGGACACGUGGUAUCCUGUCUGAAUAUGGGGGGACCAUCCUCCAAGGCUAAAUACUCCUGACUGACCGAUAGUGAACCAGUACCGUGAGGGAAAGGCGAAAAGAACCCCGGCGAGGGGAGUGAAAAAGAACCUGAAACCGUGUACGUACAAGCAGUGGGAGCCCCACCACUAAGCCAGUGGUGAACUCCACAUACGCAUCCUUUGCUGAGGAGACGGUUAACGGAGCGAAAGCGACGUUCAACCUCAAAAGAAGCAGAGGGGGCUUAGUGGUGGGGUGACUGCGUACCUUUUGUAUAAUGGGUCAGCGACUUAUAUUCUGUAGCAAGGUUAACUGUAUAGGGGAGCCGGAGGGAAACCGAGUCUUAACCGGGCGUUAAGUUGCAGGGUAUAGACCCGAAACCCGGUGAUCUAGCCAUGGGCAGGUUGAAGGUUGGGUAACACUAACUGGAGGACCGAACCGACUAAUGUUGAAAAAUUAGCGGAUGACCUGUGGCUGGGGGUGAAAGGCCAAUCAAACCGGGAGAUAGCUGGUUCUCCCCGAAAGCUAUUUAGGUAGCGCCUCGUGAAUUCAUCUCCGGGGGUAGAGCACUGUUUCGGCUAGGGGGCCAUCCCGGCUUACCAACCCGAUGCAAACUGCGAAUACCGGAGAAUGUUAUCACGGGAGACACACGGCGGGUGCUAAUGUCCGUCGUGAAGAGGGAAACAACCCAGACCGCCAGCUAAGGUCCCAAAGUCAUGGUUAAGUGGGAAACGAUGUGGGAAGGCCCAGACAGCCAGGAUGUUGGCUUAGAAGCAGCCAUCAUUUAAAGAAAGCGUAAUAGCUCACUGGUCGAGUCGGCCUGCGCGGAAGAUGUAACGGGGCUAAACCAUGCA